AACAAUUAUAAGGAUACUAGCUGGGCUUGAAAAAAGCCUAGAAGACACCAGAGAAUCCCUUUCUGGAGAAAUAAAAGAACUA
Long non-coding RNA from Lutra lutra (Eurasian river otter), 82 nucleotides. RefSeq lists it as uncharacterized. Lineage: Eukaryota; Metazoa; Chordata; Mammalia; Carnivora; Mustelidae. The record is from RefSeq and is a predicted model, not a curated record. The transcript is spliced from 3 exons.